Long non-coding RNA from Oncorhynchus tshawytscha (Chinook salmon), 398 nucleotides. The record is from Ensembl. Lineage: Eukaryota; Metazoa; Chordata; Actinopteri; Salmoniformes; Salmonidae.
CCAGCCAGACACAACCUACAGGACGCCAGACACAACCUACAGGACAUCAGCCUCUCCUAGCCAGACACAACCUACAGGACACCAGACACAACCCACAGGACACCAGCCUAUCCCAGCCAGACACAACCCACAGGACACCAGCCUCUCCCAGCCAGACACAACCCACAGGACACCAGCCUCUCCCAUCCAGACACAACCCACAGGACACCAGCCUCUCCCAGCCAGACACAACCUACAGGACGCCAGACACACCCUACAGGACGCCAGACACAACACACAGGACACCAGCCUAUCCCAACCAGACACAACCUACAGGACGCCAGACACACCCUACAGGUCACCCACAUCUCCCAGCCAGACACAACCCACAUGACACCAGCCUCUCCCAGCCAGACACA